AUUGAACGCUGGCGGCAGGCCUAACACAUGCAAGUCGAACGAGUGGCGGACGGGUGAGUAAUGUCUGGGAAACUGCCUGAUGGAGGGGGAUCACUACUGGAAACGGUCGCUAAUCCCGCAUACUAUCGGAUGCGCCCAGAUGGGCUUAGCUUGUAGGGGGGGGAACGGCUCACCUAGGCGACGAUCCCUAGCUGGUCUGAGAGGAUGACCAGCCACACGGGAACUGAGACACGGUCCAGACUCCUACGGUAGGCAGCAGUGGGGAAUAUUGCACAAUGGGCGCAAGCCUGAUGCAGCCCUGCCGCGUGUAUGAAGAAGGCCUUCGGGUUGUAAAGUACUUUCAGCGGGGAGGCGUUACCCGCAGAAGAAGCACCGGCUAACUCCGUGCCAGCAGCCGCGGUAAUAC
Molecule: ribosomal RNA, 406 nt
Filed under: uncultured bacterium
Lineage: Bacteria
Description: partial 16S ribosomal RNA
Rfam family: Bacterial small subunit ribosomal RNA
Source: RNAcentral